This 957-nucleotide ribosomal RNA is filed under the name Massilia suwonensis. RNAcentral's name for it is "bacterial SSU rRNA". The record is from RNAcentral. Lineage: Bacteria; Pseudomonadati; Pseudomonadota; Betaproteobacteria; Burkholderiales; Oxalobacteraceae.
CAUGCUUUACACAUGCAAGUCGAACGGCAGCACGGGCUUCGGCCUGGUGGCGAGUGGCGAACGGGUGAGUAAUAUAUCGGAACGUACCCAAGAGUGGGGGAUAACGUAGCGAAAGUUACGCUAAUACCGCAUACGAUCUAAGGAUGAAAGUGGGGGAUCGCAAGACCUYRUGCUCCUGGAGCGGCCGAUAUCUGAUUAGCUAGUUGGUGAGGUAAAGGCUCACCAAGGCGACGAUCAGUAGCUGGUCUGAGAGGACGACCAGCCACACUGGAACUGAGACACGGUCCAGACUCCUACGGGAGGCAGCAGUGGGGAAUUUUGGACAAUGGGCGCAAGCCUGAUCCAGCAAUGCCGCGUGAGUGAAGAAGGCCUUCGGGUUGUAAAGCUCUUUUGUCAGGGAAGAAACGGUAGAGGCUAAUAUCCUUUGCUAAUGACGGUACCUGAAGAAUAAGCACCGGCUAACUACGUGCCAGCAGCCGCGGUAAUACGUAGGGUGCAAGCGUUAAUCGGAAUUACUGGGCGUAAAGCGUGCGCAGGCGGUUUUGUAAGUCUGUCGUGAAAGCCCCGGGCUCAACCUGGGAAUUGCGAUGGAGACUGCAAGGCUUGAAUCUGGCAGAGGGGGGUAGAAUUCCACGUGUAGCAGUGAAAUGCGUAGAGAUGUGGAGGAACACCGAUGGCGAAGGCAGCCCCCUGGGUCAAGAUUGACGCUCAUGCACGAAAGCGUGGGGAGCAAACAGGAUUAGAUACCCUGGUAGUCCACGCCCUAAACGAUGUCUACUAGUUGUCGGGUUUUAAUUAACUUGGUAACGCAGCUAACGCGUGAAGUAGACCGCCUGGGGAGUACGGUCGCAAGAUUAAAACUCAAAGGAAUUGACGGGGACCCGCACAAGCGGUGGAUGAUGUGGAUUAAUUCGAUGCAACGCGAAAAACCUUACCUACCCUUGACAUGUCAGGAAG